Molecule: ribosomal RNA, 344 nt
Filed under: uncultured eukaryote
Lineage: Eukaryota
Description: SSU rRNA
Rfam family: Eukaryotic small subunit ribosomal RNA
Source: RNAcentral
CCAGCAGCCGCGGUAAUUCCAGCUCCAAUAGCGUAUAUUAAAGUUGUUGCAGUUAAAAAGCUCGUAGUUGGAUUUCUGGUGUGGGGCACUUGACCGGCUGCGGUUACGCAGUCAGAGUCGGUGUGCCUCGACCAUCCUUCUAGAAAUUGGCUCUGUCUUUCAUUAGAUUGGGGUCAGGAUCUAGAUCUUUUACUUUGAAAAAAUUAGAGUGUUUAAAGCAGGCUUUUCGCCUUGAAUACAUUAGCAUGGAAUAAUAACUUAGGACUUUGGUUCUAUUUUGUUGGUUUCUAGGACUGAAGUAAUGAUUGAUAGGGAUAGUUGGGGGUGCUAGUAUUCAGCGGCCA